Molecule: unclassified non-coding RNA, 299 nt
Filed under: Hevea brasiliensis (rubber tree)
Lineage: Eukaryota; Viridiplantae; Streptophyta; Magnoliopsida; Malpighiales; Euphorbiaceae
Source: RNAcentral
CAACGGGAAACAAGAGAGACAGAGAUUAUAGAGCAAUUUCGCAGCUUAGAGCAAAACGCUAAUGGCUAAUGAACAAGAUAUGAGUAGCUGGACUGAUCUCCUCCACUCCUCCUCGAAGCUUCUUGAACAAGCUGCGCCUUCUGCUCAGUUCCCUCCUCUCCAGAGGAACUUAGAUCAGUUAGAAGCAUUAUCAAAGAAGCUCAAGGCAAAAACUUUAAGAACUGAAGCCCCUUCUCAAUCCAUUGCUGCAACAAGGCUUCUUGCACGUGAAGGAAUAAAUGCUGAGCAGCUUGCACGGG